Molecule: transfer RNA, 73 nt
Filed under: Planctomycetaceae bacterium
Lineage: Bacteria; Pseudomonadati; Planctomycetota; Planctomycetia; Planctomycetales; Planctomycetaceae
Description: tRNA-Thr
Rfam family: tRNA
About the family: Transfer RNA (tRNA) molecules are approximately 80 nucleotides in length. Their secondary structure includes four short double-helical elements and three loops (D, anti-codon, and T loops).
Source: RNAcentral
GCCCGCGUAGCUCAACUGGCAGAGCGCAGCUUUCGUAAAGCUGAGGUUGAGGGUUCAAUUCCCCCCGCGGGCU